GACGAACGCUGGCGGCGUGCUUAACACAUGCAAGUCGAGCGGAAAGGCCCUUCGGGGUACUCGAGCGGCGAACGGGUGAGUAACACGUGAGUAACCUGCCCCAGACUUUGGGAUAACCCUCGGAAACGGGGGCUAAUACCGGAUACGACACAGCUUCGCAUGGGGUCUGUGUGGAAAGUUUUUCGGUUUGGGAUGGGCUCGCGGCCUAUCAGCUUGUUGGUGGGGUGACGGCCUACCAAGGCGACGACGGGUAGCCGGCCUGAGAGGGCGACCGGCCACACUGGGACUGAGACACGGCCCAGACUCCUACGGGAGGCAGCAGUGGGGAAUAUUGCACAAUGGGCGGAAGCCUGAUGCAGCGACGCCGCGUGAGGGAUGACGGCCUUCGGGUUGUAAACCUCUUUCAGCAGGGACGAAGCGUAAGUGACGGUACCUGCAGAAGAAGCGCCGGCCAACUACGUG
This 462-nucleotide ribosomal RNA is filed under the name uncultured bacterium. RNAcentral's name for it is "partial 16S ribosomal RNA". It matches the Rfam family "Bacterial small subunit ribosomal RNA", at positions 28 to 507 of the family's 1533-position model. The record is from RNAcentral.